This 30-nucleotide non-coding RNA is filed under the name Rattus norvegicus (Norway rat). Lineage: Eukaryota; Metazoa; Chordata; Mammalia; Rodentia; Muridae. The record is from RNAcentral.
UGCCUAUCUGUACAUGUCUGCGAGGGUUUU